RNAcentral lists this ribosomal RNA (300 nucleotides) under uncultured bacterium. RNAcentral describes it as "bacterial SSU rRNA". It matches the Rfam family "Bacterial small subunit ribosomal RNA", at positions 789 to 1084 of the family's 1533-position model. The record is from RNAcentral.
GGUAGUCCUAGCUGUAAACGGUGCAUAUUUGCUGUAAAAGGAAUCGACCCCUUUUGUGGCGAAGCAAACGCGUUAAAUAUGCCGCCUGGGAAGUACGGUCGCAAGAUUAAAACUCAAAGAAAUUGACGGGGGCCUGCACAAGCGGUGGAGUAUGUGGCUUAAUUCGAUGCAACGCGAAGAACCUUACCUGGCCUUGACAUGCACAUAGUAGAAGCCUGAAAGGGUGACGAGGUAGCAAUACCAGUGUGCACAGGUGCUGCAUGGCUGUCGUCAGCUCGUGUCGUGAGAUGUUGGGUUAAG